This 631-nucleotide ribosomal RNA is filed under the name uncultured Enterobacterales bacterium. Its description in RNAcentral is "bacterial SSU rRNA". It matches the Rfam family "Bacterial small subunit ribosomal RNA", at positions 75 to 705 of the family's 1533-position model. Lineage: Bacteria; Pseudomonadati; Pseudomonadota; Gammaproteobacteria; Enterobacterales. The record is from RNAcentral.
UGCUUCUUUGCUGACGAGUGGCGGACGGGUGAGUAAUGUCUGGGAAACUGCCUGAUGGAGGGGGAUAACUACUGGAAACGGUAGCUAAUACCGCAUAACGUCGCAAGACCAAAGAGGGGGACCUUCGGGCCUCUUGCCAUCGGAUGUGCCCAGAUGGGAUUAGCUAGUAGGUGGGGUAACGGCUCACCUAGGCGACGAUCCCUAGCUGGUCUGAGAGGAUGACCAGCCACACUGGAACUGAGACACGGUCCAGACUCCUACGGGAGGCAGCAGUGGGGAAUAUUGCACAAUGGGCGCAAGCCUGAUGCAGCCAUGCCGCGUGUAUGAAGAAGGCCUUCGGGUUGUAAAGUACUUUCAGCGGGGAGGAAGGGAGUAAAGUUAAUACCUUUGCUCAUUGACGUUGCCCGCAGAAGAAGCACCGGCUAACUCCGUGCCAGCAGCCGCGGUAAUACGGAGGGUGCAAGCGUUAAUCGGAAUUACUGGGCGUAAAGCGCACGCAGGCGGUUUGUUAAGUCAGAUGUGAAAUCCCCGGGCUCAACCUGGGAACUGCAUCUGAUACUGGCAAGCUUGAGUCUCGUAGAGGGGGGUAGAAUUCCAGGUGUAGCGGUGAAAUGCGUAGAGAUCUGGAGGA